Molecule: unclassified non-coding RNA, 218 nt
Filed under: soil metagenome
Description: partial contains 5.8S ribosomal RNA, internal transcribed spacer 2, and large subunit ribosomal RNA
Source: RNAcentral
AACGAGGCCGACCUGCGGCUGAGUUACCUGCGGAAGGAUCAUUACAGAGUUAUCCAACUCCCAAACCCAUGUGAACUUAUCUCUUUGUUGCCUCGGCGCAAGCUACCCGGGACCCCGCGCCCCGGGCGGCCCGCCGGCGGACAAACCAAAACUCUUGUUAUCUUAGUUGAUUCUCUGAGCGUCUUAUUUAAUAAGUCAAAACUUUCAACAACGGAUCU